GUACGACAUUGCAAGUACCAUACGAAUAAGCAUCGGCUAACUCCGUGCCAGCACCCCGCGGUAAUACGGAGGAUGCAAGCGGUUAUCCGGAAUCAUUGGGUUUAAAGGGUGCGUAGGUUGAUUAUUAAGUCAGUGGUGAAAAUUCCGGGCUCAACCCGGGACUUGCCGUUGAAACUGAUAAUCUUGAGUGUAACUGAUGUGGGCGGAAUGUGUCAAGUACCGGUGAAAUGCAUAGAUAUGACACAGAACACCGAUAGCGAAGGCAGCUCACAAAAUUACAACUGACACUGAGGCACGAAAGCGUGGGUAUCAAACAGGAUUAGAUACCCUGGUAGUCCACGCUGUAAACGAUGAUCACUAGCUGUUUGCGAUACAUUGUAAGUGGUUAAGCGAAAGCGAUAAGUGAUCCACCUGGGGAGUACGUCGGCAACGAUGAAACUCAAAGGAAUUGACGGGGGCCCGCACAAGCGGAGGAGCAUGUGGUUUAAUUCGAUGAUACGCGAGGAACCUUACCUGGGCUUGAACGUAUGGUGCAUGAGUGUGAAAGCACUCUUUCCUUCACAGGACUUCAUACGAGGUGCUGCAUGGUUGUCGUCAGCUCGUGCCGUGAGGUGUUAGGUUAAGUCCUGCAACGAGCGCAACCCCUGUUUUUAGUUGCCAGCAGGUUAUGCUGGGCACUCUAGAAAGACUGCCUGCGCAAGCAGAGAGGAAGGUGGGGAUGACGUCAAAUCAGCACGGCCCUUACGUCCAGGGCUACACACGUGCUACAAUGGUCGGCACAGAGGGUGGCUACCCGGCAACGGGAUGCUAAUCUCCAAAGUCGAUCUUAGUUCGGAUCGAAGUCUGCAACUCGACUUCGUGAAGUUGGAUUCGCUAGUAAUCGUAUAUCAGCCAUGAUACGGUGAUACGUUCCCGGGCAUUGUACACACCGCCCGUCAAGCCAUGGAAGUUGGGGUACCUGAAGUCGAUUACCGUAAGGGNUGCCUAGGGUAAA
Molecule: ribosomal RNA, 994 nt
Filed under: uncultured organism
Description: bacterial SSU rRNA
Rfam family: Bacterial small subunit ribosomal RNA
Source: RNAcentral